GCCGGGAUAGCUCAGCUGGGAGAGCAGCAGACUGAAGCGCCUAUUUGAGGAGGUUGUGUUCUGAAGGUCGCGUGUUCAAUCCACGCUCCUGGCA
Molecule: non-coding RNA, 94 nt
Organism: Trametes polyzona
Lineage: Eukaryota; Fungi; Basidiomycota; Agaricomycetes; Polyporales; Polyporaceae
Source: the annotation of a GenBank genome assembly